UAGCUUUGGCAGCACAUAUACUAAAACUGGAACAAUACAGAGAAGAUUAAAAUGGCCCCUGCGCAAGGAUGACUUGCAAAUUCGUGAAGCGGUCCAUUUAAAA
This 103-nucleotide small nuclear RNA is filed under the name Laticauda laticaudata (blue-ringed sea krait). Lineage: Eukaryota; Metazoa; Chordata; Lepidosauria; Squamata; Elapidae. The record is from RNAcentral.